UCUGAUGGAACAAUUCCCGCGUGAAUGAAAGAAGGGUUUCCGGCUCGUAAAACUCUGUUGUUAAAGAAGAACACCUUUGAGAGUAACUGUUCAAGGGUUGACGGUAUUUAACCAGAAAGCCACGGCUAACUACGUGCCAGCAGCCGCGGUAAUACGUAGGUGGCAAGCGUUGUCCGGAUUUAUUGGGCGUAAAGCGAGCGCAGGCGGUUUUUUAAGUCUGAUGUGAAAGCCUUCGGCUUAACCGGAGAAGUGCAUCGGAAACUGGGAGACUUGAGUGCAGAAGAGGACAGUGGAACUCCAUGUGUAGCGGUGGAAUGCGUAGAUAUAUGGAAGAACACCAGUGGCGAAGGCGGCUGUCUAGUCUGUAACUGACGCUGAGGCUCGAAAGCAUGGGUAGCGAACAGGAUUAGAUACCCUGGUAGUCCAUGCCGUAAACGAUGAGUGCUAAGUGUUGGAGGGUUUCCGCCCUUCAGUGCUGCAGCUAACGCAUUAAGCACUCCGCCUGGGGAGUACGACCGCAAGGUUGAAACUCAAAGGAAUUGACGGGGGCCCGCACAAGCGGUGGAGCAUGUGGUUUAAUUCGAAGCUACGCGAAGAACCUUACCAGGUCUUGACAUCUUCUGCCAAUCUUAGAGAUAAGACGUUCCCUUCGGGGACAGAAUGACAGGUGGUGCAUGGUUGUCGUCAGCUCGUGUCGUGAGAUGUUGGGUUAAGUCCCGCAACGAGCGCAACCCUUAUUAUCAGUUGCCAGCAUUCAGUUGGGCACUCUGGUGAGACUGCCGGUGACAAACCGGAGGAAGGUGGGGAUGACGUCAAAUCAUCAUGCCCCUUAUGACCUGGGCUACACACGUGCUACAAUGGACGGUACAACGAGUUGCGAAGUCGUGAGGCUAAGCUAAUCUCUUAAAGCCGUUCUCAGUUCGGAUUGUAGGCUGCAACUCGCCUACAUGAAGUUGGAAUCGCUAGUAAUCGCGGAUCAGCAUGCCGCGGUGAAUACGUUCCCGGGCCUUGUACACACCGCCCGUCACACCAUGAGAGUUUGUAACACCCAAAGCCGGUGAGAUAACUUCGGAGUCAGCCGUCUAAGGUGACAGAGAUGA
This 1100-nucleotide ribosomal RNA is filed under the name Levilactobacillus brevis. Its description in RNAcentral is "bacterial SSU rRNA". It matches the Rfam family "Bacterial small subunit ribosomal RNA", at positions 382 to 1474 of the family's 1533-position model. The record is from RNAcentral. Lineage: Bacteria; Bacillati; Bacillota; Bacilli; Lactobacillales; Lactobacillaceae.